Molecule: ribosomal RNA, 1369 nt
Filed under: Cherax sp. YPL-2015
Lineage: Eukaryota; Metazoa; Arthropoda; Malacostraca; Decapoda; Parastacidae
Description: 16S ribosomal RNA
Rfam family: Archaeal large subunit ribosomal RNA (bases 632-1369)
Source: RNAcentral
GCGGCAUAUUUUGGUUAUUUAUAAUAUCUUGCUAAUUAUUAUAGUUAGAAAAAAUAUUUAGAAGUUUUAGUAGGUUAGUUAAGGAAGAAGUAGUUGUUGGCGAUAAAUAAUAGUACUGUGUAGGAAAGUUGAAAUAUGUGAAAUAAGAUAAGUGUGAAGUAUUAGUUAAACUGAGUACCUUGUGUAUUAGGGAUAUUUUAUAUUAAAUAUUUAUGAUUUAUUUUUCCCGAAAUAGGGAUAGCUAAACUGGAGAUUGAGUUUUUGUAGCAAAAAGAUUCGAAACUUUGUUUUAGUAGUGAAAUGUUAAUCGGGCCUUAAAAUAUCUGGUUUUUUUUGAAAAAAAUUGAAUUUUUUCUUUGUAUUGAAGGAGGACAAAGGUUAGGAGUAGAGGGGUAAAGCUCUUUAUUUAAUUAUUUUAGUUAUAAAAAUAGAAUGAGGGGUGUUCUUAACUAGGCUUAGAGGUAGCCAUGUUUACAGGGGGUUAUACCUGAGGUGAAGAGAGUAGAAUAUUUAUUAUUUUUUAAGUAAGUAAAAAAGACUUUUUAUAAAUUUAGUUUGAAAAUUUAAAGUGAAUAUAUUAGUAUAUGGAAUUGUUUUAAAAAUUUAUUUUGGAGAAUUUAAUGAAGUUUAUUGGGGGGUAGGUGAGUAUAGAGGAAUUCGGCAAAAAUACUUCCGCCUGUUUAUCAAAAACAUGUCUGUAUGAGAGUUAUAUAAAGUCUGGCCUGCCCAUUGGGAACUAAAAGGCCGCGGUAUUGUGACCGUGCGAAGGUAGCAUAAUCAUUAGUCUUUUAAUUGGAGGCUGGAAUGAAUGGCUGGACGAGAAGUAAGCUGUCUUUAUCUCAGAAGUUGAAUUUAACUUUUAAGUGAAAAGGCUUAAAUGAAUUAGAGGGACGAUAAGACCCUAUAAAGUUUAAACACUGAGUUAGUUAAGAGUGAUUUAGAGUAGUAAGGUUUAUUAUUAGUUAGGUGUUUGGUUGGGGCGACUAGAAUAUAAGUUAUAUAACUGUUUUUUAUUUGAAUCAGAGAUAUCUGUUCACAUGAUCCCUUUUUAGGAUUAAAGAGUAAAUUACUUUAGGGAUAACAGCGUAAUUUUUUUUGAGAGUUCUUAUCGACAAAAGAGUUUGCGACCUCGAUGUUGAAUUAAAAUUUCUUUGUGGCGUAGCAGUUACAAAAGAAGGUCUGUUCGACCUUUAAAUUUUUACAUGAUUUGAGUUCAGACCGGCGUGAGCCAGGUUGGUUUCUAUCUUCUAAGGAAUCUUAAGUUAUUUUAGUACGAAAGGAUUAAAUAACUAGAAUAGUUUUUAUAAAAGUCAGAAAAAAAGCAGGCUUUUUCUUUAAUUUCCAAAAUUAAUAUUUUAGGAGUAAACUA